UACGUAGGGUGCAAGCGUUAAUCGGAAUUACUGGGCGUAAAGCGUGCGCAGGCGGUUAUGUAAGACAGAUGUGAAAUGCCCGGGCUUAACCUGGGAACUGCAUUUGUGACUGCAUGGCUAGAGUUUGGCAGAGGGGGGUAGAAUUCCACGUGUAGCAGUGAAAUGCGUAGAUAUGUGGAGGAACACCGAUGGAGAAGGCAGCCCGCUGGUCAAGACUGACGCUCAUGCACGAAAGCGUGGGGAGCAAACAGG
Molecule: ribosomal RNA, 252 nt
Filed under: uncultured bacterium
Lineage: Bacteria
Description: partial 16S ribosomal RNA
Rfam family: Bacterial small subunit ribosomal RNA
Source: RNAcentral